GUGACGACGCUGGCGGCGUGCCUAACACAUGCAAGUCGAACGGUAACAGGGCUAGCUUGCUAGCCGCUGACGAGUGGCGCACGGGUGAGUAACGCGUGGGUAACCUGCCCAUCAGUGGGGAAAAACUCCGGGAAACSGGAGCUAAUACCGCAUACGACCUUCGGGUGAAAGAGGGGGAUCUUCGGACCUCUCGCUGAUGGAUGGGCCCGCGUCCGAUUAGCUUGUUGGUGAGGUAAUGGCUCACCAAGGCUCCGAUCGGUAACUGGUUUGAGAGGAUGAUCAGUCACACUGGAACUGAGACACGGUCCAGACUCCUACGGGAGGCAGCAGUGGGGAAUUUUGCACAAUGGGCGAAAGCCUGAUGCAGCGACGCCGCGUGCGGGAAGAAGGCCUUCGGGUUGUAAACCGCUUUCAACAGGGAAGAAGGAAUGAGGGCUAAUACCCCUCUGCCUUGACGGUACCUGUAGAAGAAGCACCGGCUAAUUUCGUGCCAGCAGCCGCGGUAAUACGAAAGGUGCAAGCGUUGUUCGGAUUUACUGGGCGUAAAGCGCGCGUAGGCGGCUAAUCAAGUCGGAUGUGAAAUCCCGGGGCUCAACCCCGGAACUGCAUUCGAAACUGGUUGGCUAGAGUUCGAGAGGGGGAUGCGGAAUUCCGAGUGUAGCAGUGAAAUGCGUAGAUAUUCGGAGGAACACCUGAGGGCGAAGGCGGCAUCCUGGAUCGACACUGACGCUGAGGUGCGAAAAGCGUGGGUAGCAAACAGGGAUUAGAAUACCCUGGGUAGUYCACGCCCUAAACGAUGUCUACUAGCCGUUGCGGGUAUCGACCCCUGCAGUGGCAAAGCUAACGCGAUAAGUAGACCGCCUGGGGAGUACGGCCGCACUCGA
This 884-nucleotide ribosomal RNA is filed under the name uncultured Zetaproteobacteria bacterium. RNAcentral describes it as "bacterial SSU rRNA". It matches the Rfam family "Bacterial small subunit ribosomal RNA", at positions 26 to 897 of the family's 1533-position model. Lineage: Bacteria; Pseudomonadati; Pseudomonadota; Candidatius Mariprofundia. The record is from RNAcentral.